UCCGAGUUGACCCCGGCAGUCUCCUGCGAGUCCCCGCCAUUACGCGCUGGCAACACAGGACAAGGGUUGCGCUCGUUGCGCCACUUAAGGCAACACCUCACGGCACGAGCUGACGACAGCCAUGCAGCACCUGUGCGGGCUCCCGAAGGAGCGCCGUGUUUCCACGACAUUCCAGUGCAUGUCAAGCCCUGGUAAGGUUCUUCGCGUCGCGUCGAAUUAAACCACAUGCUCCGCUGCUUGUGCGGGUCCCCGUCAAUUCCUUUGAGUUUUAGCCUUGCGGCCGUACUCCCCAGGCGGGGUGCUUAAUGCGUUAGCUUCGGCACGGAAGGGGUCGAUAUCCCCCCACACCUAGCACCCAACGUUUACGGCUAGGACUAC
This 378-nucleotide unclassified non-coding RNA is filed under the name uncultured Actinomycetes bacterium. Its description in RNAcentral is "uncultured actinobacterium contains 16S-23S intergenic spacer region". Lineage: Bacteria; Bacillati; Actinomycetota; Actinomycetes. The record is from RNAcentral.